RNAcentral lists this microRNA precursor (91 nucleotides) under Brugia malayi. The record is from RNAcentral. Lineage: Eukaryota; Metazoa; Nematoda; Chromadorea; Rhabditida; Onchocercidae.
UCAUUCGUAGCUGAGCAUGGUUCUUAGUCAUGUGGCAUGUAAGAGAUUCAUGACUAGAACCAUACUCAGCUAUGUGACCCGGCAUUCUUAA